This 448-nucleotide ribosomal RNA is filed under the name uncultured bacterium. RNAcentral's name for it is "SSU rRNA". It matches the Rfam family "Bacterial small subunit ribosomal RNA", at positions 26 to 518 of the family's 1533-position model. The record is from RNAcentral.
AGAACGAACGCUGGCGGCAGGCUUAACACAUGCAAGUCGAACGCGUGUAGCAAUACACGAGUGGCGCACGGGUGAGUAACGCGUGGAUAUCUGCCUUUUGGUUCGGAAUAACCCCGGGAAACUGGGGCUAAUACCGGAUGGUUCCUACGGGAUAAAGAUUUAUCGCCAAAAGAUGAGUCCGCGUACGAUUAGCUAGUUGGUGAGGUAAUGGCUCACCAAGGCGACGAUCGUUAGCUGGUCUGAGAGGACGAUCAGCCACACUGGGACUGAGACACGGCCCAGACUCCUACGGGAGGCAGCAGUGGGGAAUAUUGGACAAUGGGCGAAAGCCUGAUCCAGCAAUGCCGCGUGUGUGAAGAAGGUCUUCGGAUUGUAAAGCACUUUCGACGGGGACGAUGAUGACGGUACCCGUAGAAGAAGCCCCGGCUAACUUCGUGCCAGUAGCCGC